GAUCAUGGCUCAGGAUGAACGCUGGCGGCGUGCUUAACACAUGCAAGUCGAGCGAAGCACUCUGCUUUGAUUCUUACGGGAUGAAGAGCAUUGUGACUGAGCGGCGGACGGGUGAGGUAACGCGUGGGUAACCUGCCUCAUACAGGGGGGAUAACAGUUAGAAAUGGCUGCUAAUACCGCAUAAGACCACAGCACCGCAUGGUGCAGGGGUAAAACUCCGGUGGU
Molecule: ribosomal RNA, 225 nt
Filed under: uncultured bacterium
Lineage: Bacteria
Description: partial 16S ribosomal RNA
Rfam family: Bacterial small subunit ribosomal RNA
Source: RNAcentral